GCGGGCUCCCCGGCAAAAUGGCGGCGCCGGCGGCGGCGGGGUGGAUGCGGCGCCGCCGCAGCGCGCGCCAUGCCCGGUAGCCGGCGGAAGGGACCUUGCCUCAGGCCCGCCGCCCUGAGGAGGCGGAGCGGCGGCGGCGAGGAGCAGCUCACCCGGCGGCGGCCGGCGGAGCUCCCCCCGGAGGAGAAGGAGGAGGAGGCGGCGUCGGCGGCCGGCGGUGCGGGCCAGGACCUGCCCGCGGGGGAGGCGCCGCGCGCGCCCCGGCCGUCGCAGUCGCGGGAGGCGGCGGUGCGCGGCGCUGCAGAGUCAUGUUUACAUAAAACACCAAAGAGAUCGUUGAGUAGGAAAUCCCGAAUACCUACUUUCAGCUCUCCUGUUAAUGACACCGAUAUCCAGCAAGAAAUCUUUUGGGAUCCUCAUUCACCAAUUGCACACAGACUAGGCAAUGGAAAAACCAAACAGUCUACCAGUAGAUGCGCAGUAGAAAUUUCAGAAAUUGUUAAUCGUAUUGCUCCUCAGGAUGAAAAAGCAGCCUGUAAUGAAGGCUCCCUUUUAGGGACAUGGAUUGGUGAGGAUGCUAUUCCUUGUACACCUGGAGUAGUAAAAGCGCGAACUAGGACGAAGUUAAGUUGUACAAGAGAUCUUAAAAUAAAAAAUCCUGAAGAGGAACUCAUGAAAUUGGCUAAGGAAUUUGAUAAAAAUCUAGUAGAGCUAGAUGCUGUUCAGGAACAAGAGAAGCUUGGUCAUCACUUCAUCCAGACCACCUCAGAGUCUUUAAAUAAUUCUAAAGAUGGAGUAAAUAUGAAGAACUUGAAAUCACUCCUUGGUGAAUUUUCUGAAACAGAUACUGCUCUGUCCCUGAAACCAGUUGGACAGAGCACUGGCAUCCCUGCUGGAGAGCCUUGUCAAUCUAGCAGUCAAAAGUCCAUAGAUCUUGAGUCUGAAAUAGCCCUUCAUGCUCUUUUUGACUGCUCUACCCAGAAGUGUAGUGGACAGUUGAGCCAAGGACUAUCAGGUAUUUCUUUAAAUAAUAGUUUCCAUGAAAAUAAAAGCACCUUGGAUGAGGAACACCUUCCUGAGCAAAUUAAAGACAUGCAACGUGGUAAUUCGGAGGCAUAUCGAAAAGAUAGUCUGUGUGCAUUAGGAAGCGUGAACCAGACUUUUCCAAAACCUGAUACGCAUGUGUUGACAAAAAAAAAUCCUUCUUCUUUGAAGACACAAUUGGUGGUCUCCAGUAAGCUUGCUGGAGUAGUUAAUGAUGACUUUGAUGACUGGGAUACAGAUUUUUUGGCAGAUGACUCUUUUGUGAUGCAAAUAACCCAAAAUCCUGAAUUGUUAAGUACUGAAGAAGCACCACCAAUUCGUACAAAUCCAUCUGUGCGUGGUUUCACUGAUGCUAGCAGAACAAAGGAAAGAAGUUCCAAUUCAGUAACUUGUUUGGGGAGUGUACGCAAAUCUAACAGUUUGCAGUUUUCACCUUCGAAACACUGUAGUAAAAACACACGAAAUGUGAAAUCUCUUUCUUUACAAAAGCCAUAUAAGACACAAAACUCAAAGACAGAGACCAUAGCCUUUCAUGGCAAAUGUGACGUUAAGCCAGAUAAAAUAAAUUCUAUUGGGAAAAGUGCCCAAACCAGUAAUUUGAACUAUAUUCCUGUUUCAGUGCAAUCUGAAGUGAAGAAUGGAAAUGAAACUAUUCAGCCCAAAAGUGACCCUCUUCCUCUGUUUCCUUCAAGAUCUAAUCCUCAUAGACAAUGGACUGAAAAACCUGGGAAUAACACAUACAGUAUUUUCUGUCAAUCAUCCAGUGUUUCUACCAAUACGAAACCUAAUGAUCUAACUAAAAUGGUUAACCAAGCUAAUACAGAUAACUUAAAUCAAGUUGAAGUACCAAAGAAAUGUCCUGUGUCCUGUGAUGACUGGAAUGAACCGCAAUUUUCUGAUGAGGUAUUAGAUAUGUUUUGUGAAUCCGAUAGUCUUUGGGAUGCAAACCGUGAGGAUGAUGAAUUGUUGUAUCAGGUGUGUGAUGAUAUAGAAAAGCAGACUCAGAGCCAGGAUGUUAAACAAGGAAAUGAAAGAGCUAAAACUAUACAAGGAGCCAGUAUUAAUUCCAGAUCAAAUGCUGAUAACAGCUUCCCAGCAUCUAAACAAGGACUACCUGAUCUCCUCUUGGCACAAAAACCAAAUGCAAAACAGGACACUUUCUCACUAAACAAUUCCUGUAGGAAUUCAUCAAAGGUUACGCAUGGGCUGGCCAGAACAGGUCACGUAGUGAACUGUAAAAACGUCUCAAGUCCUUUAACUAUGAUCUCGGGUACUUCUAUGGAGUGUAAAGAUACACUGUCUAAAAACUGUCAUCAAGACACUUCUGAAGAUACUACAAAGACUGUUUCGGGAAAAUGGUAUAGGUCAAAUUCUGUGCCGGCAGGAGAGCCUGGUUCUGAAGCAAGUCCUGUUAAUGCAGUAAACGUUUUCAGUAGCAAAACACUAGACAGCCCAGAUCUUUUGUGUAAUACAGGAAAGAUGCUAAAUAACGGUUCUGCUAACAGAAUAUCACUUAUACCUUCAAAGUUUAAGUUCCAAAAGACUAACAGUUCUCAGGGUGCUCUUCAUGUAGGGUCUGAAAAGCCAGGGAGUCAUUCUGGCAUUGGAAUUACUCUGCAGAGUUUGGAAGGAAGCAAGAAUCAGGUGAAUGUGACUUUGCACAGCAAGCUUGACAAUAAGAAACCACCUUUCAAGAGGCACCUUUCAGAGUCUUUUGUACUGCCUACAUCAGUGUCUGUGGCAGAACAAAAAAAUAGAAAAUGUUCUCAAGAAGAGAUUGAAAGAAAAAAACAAGCAGCUCUUGCACGAAGAAAAUCCAGAAUGCAGGCAUUCUUUAAAGAUGCUUGAAUUUGGAGUUUAUUUUGUCUAUGGAGUAAGUUUUUGGGAGGGAAAUAUUGUAAUACUGGAAGACAGUUUUUAAACUCUGUUCACAGCUACUGACGGCAAACUUUUUCUAUUUCUCAAUUUAAAAAGAUCUUGACCUGAACCAUAACUAAUACUCUGGUGCUAUUUAGUCUUAAUUAAAAACUACCAGUUGUAAAUGUGUAGUCCCAAACUACCUUCAGCCCAAUGAAGAUUGUAUUGAGUUCACAUACUGUUAUGUGUUGAAAUUGUAUAGUCUGAAAAUCAUCAGCGCAUGAAGGUGUUUGUAUAUACACGAAAGUAGAUGUCAAAACCAGACUGUAUGUGUUUUGGCUGUAUUACUGCAAAUAUUUUAAUCUAUAAUAAGACUCUCAAGUACGCACAGACUAAGAAAUACUAAUGUUUGCUCUCAGGUAGAAGAAAGUUUUGGUUUAAAGAAAGUACAAUCUAGAAAACAUCUAACAUCGGAAAACUAAUGGAAAUGAACAGGAUUUGGAAAGCGUGUUCAGUUUGUCUCCAUUACCUUAGGUGAUGCUAAUUUUCUCAACACCCAGGAUAGAAGGGCCCUAGAGCUGCCCACCUGAAAUGCCACCACUGGUCUCCCCCUCAGAGCAGGAUACUGACGCAUUUCAUGAUGAGUGAUGUUACUCGCUAAAAUCCAAGAAUUAUAUUUUUCAGGUAAACCUGUGGUGGGUUUUUUUCCAUUUAGGAAAGGCAGACAUGAUCAGAUAGUGGAGGGGUAAUGAAAAGGACCAGCCAGAAGUAAUGCGCCCAGAGAUCUGUAUAAAAAUCCAGAUUUCAUUAACAGGGCCAUGACAUCUAGGAACGGGAUUGAUACAGAUGGCAGCUCAGUUACAGAGUUCAGCUGAUGCUGAGCGUAUGUUAAGCAUGGAAAACAGAUUACUAUGAGCUCCAAUCUAUCUCAUGUGGUAUGUUUUGGAAACCCUAUCUGUUUACUCCAGGGGCAACAGAUCUACGGAGGUAAAAUCCACAUGGUUUCAAAAAGACUAUCUGAGGGGAAGCUGGAAAAGUAUCUCAAGCUCUUAUAGUGUUCCCAUGGACCUGGAAAUUCUGAUCCCAAUGACAUUAGUAGAUUUUUUUCCUUAAGACUACACCUGCACUUCUCCUUCUUGGGACCUGCAGCUGGAAGAAGAGUUUAGCUCCAGCCAGCUUGUGCAGCAGAACUGGAGUCUGCCCCAACAAGUGGGACAUCCCCACACUUGAAACAGUUUUGGUUUUCAUCUCUGAAUUGGUUUCUUUUUUCCCUGCUCUAAACUCUUUGCAAAUCCUCCCCUUUUACCUUACAUUCCUUCUCAUCGGCUUGCCUAUUGCCUAAAUAUUUUUUUUUGUUUGCUUAUGUUUUAUCUACAUCAGUAUUUAUUUUUCUUAAAAGUGCCUUUCCCCCCACAUUCUGUUUCAAAAUUUUUCCUCUGCUUGUUAUCAGGCCUCAUUGCCUCUAACACCUUGUUCCUGACCCUUGCCCCAGCUCAGCUGUCUUCUCCUUUCCUAUUCCUCACUUUCUUUCUCCACUUGCUCCCUUUUGCCCCCCAUUUCCCCUUGACUGCCCAGGUCACCCUCUCCUCCCCCAAAUGGGGCACACAGCAGGGCUGGCCUCCUUCCCCCUCACCCAGACAUCUUCACAUGAGCCUGAAAUACAUACAGCAGCAGAGGGGCCUUAUACAUGUGUAUCAAAAGCUUGAUGCACAUAAAUAAAAGAAAGUUGGUGACUAAUUUAUUUUCUCAGUAUCUAUUAAACACAGACUAAACUGCCCUGGACAUAUUUAGGCUGGAAAUUAGAAGAAGGUUUACAACCACGAGAAGAAAGACAGCCUCUCAGUAGGAGUAGUGAGGGCAAGAAACCUAAAUGGUUUCAAGAUGGAACUAGAUAAGUGUUUGAAAGACAUCAUAUGAUGUGGUUGCCUUCAACAGCAGGGGACAGGACUUGAUGACUUAGGAAGUUCCUUUCAGUCUUAAUUCUUAUCUUCCUGUGUGGGCCAAAUGUCACCCACAGCAGUCUGCUGAUGAGCCCUAUAGAGAUGAGGCACAGGAAAGGCAGCCGCAGGCCUCUGCAGGCUGCAGUCGCCUUCGCAGUUCCACCAUGUAGUCACUUUGCCAACUGGGGUGAAAAGGGAACCAGUAAGACUUGAGUACCAUCAUGAAGCGCUCUAAAGUAUGUUUAAAAAGGAUGACGAAGUGCCCAGGCUGCUCAGAUGUGAAUGUAAUGUGCUGCAAUGCCCUCUCUGCUUUUCCUCCACACAGAAGAGGAUAGCAGCUAGGAUCUUUUUUCCCAUUUCUGAAAAGUUGCCUGCCUUUGGUUGGGAAAACUCAGGCUCUGCAGCAGUCAAGGUACAUUUGCUCCACAUAUAAGGUCUCACAGGAAUUGACACACUGAACAAUAAAGUAGAUUUAAGCUAAAAAGCAAAAUCCAACAUCAUCUGCUGGUUCAAUCACAUGCUUACUUGUACAACGGCUGCAGAAUUAGUGCUCACAGUUGACAGCCUGGGCACAAGCUCACAAUUAACUGCAACUAUGCCAGAAAAGCUUGAGGAGGUACCGCCUCUCAGCUGAGCUGUCCCUGCCAGCAGUCCCCACCGCAAGCUCAAAAUGUUGGCUUAAAUCUUCAUCAGAACGUUGAUUUUAGCAUCUUCGGCAAAAGAAAUACAAGCUGAUACACUUUGCCUUGCAAUGGAGAUGGGCUACCAGUGCUCACAGCAGCUCAGCUGAAGGGAGGUAACUUAUUAAGCUGUUUUAGCUCACCUGCCCAAAAUUGCUGCAGGUGUUAGCAGCUGGGGAUGACAUGGUCAGCAGUGAUGCUUGGAGGGCAGGUUGACAUCUGCGAGUCUUCUAAGACCUCCAUAACACAACCCGCAAAGCCCUGUCAGACCAG
Molecule: RNA transcript, 5794 nt
Organism: Aquila chrysaetos chrysaetos
Lineage: Eukaryota; Metazoa; Chordata; Aves; Accipitriformes; Accipitridae
Gene: ETAA1
Gene name: ETAA1 activator of ATR kinase
Exons: 12
Source: RefSeq, a predicted model, not a curated record